GGUUUGUGGUAUAUUGACUACAGUGCAGGAGCACUUCUCACUGCAGAGCACUGAUUAAAACAUCAUGCAGUUUGUCUGCAUCACUUGUUUUCUCUUCACUUCUACCUUGACUUUAGGAUGGGCAAGAAGUGUAGACCUUCAGCUCACAGAACCACAAACACCCAGCCUUUCCAUGAUGAACAUGUGCACCGAUUGCAAGAAGAUUGUACAGUUGUUGACAGAAAUCCUCUCCAAUCAAGACUCACAGCAUCUCAUUGAAAAAGCUCUGGACACGUUUUGCUAUGAACACCCCGUCAUCCCUUUGUGUAUGGAUGGAGCAAAGACAUACGUACAUGUGAUCAUCAGACAUUUCAGUGCAUUUGCAAAUCAAAAUGGUGACAUAUGUACAGUGUUGAGACUGUGUGGCAGCCAGUCUAAUAAGAGAAAAGCAC
Molecule: long non-coding RNA, 431 nt
Filed under: Sinocyclocheilus grahami
Lineage: Eukaryota; Metazoa; Chordata; Actinopteri; Cypriniformes; Cyprinidae
Description: lncRNA (ENSSGRG00000033857.1)
Source: RNAcentral